AAAAAAUAUUUAAUUUAGAUAGUAAAAGGUGGUAUAGGUACCGCCAUUGACCUAGUUGCGCCCACGUAAUGCGUUCUUCAUCUUCCGUCCGUAUUCCUCCUGGCUGUGAUUGUGCUUGCAGAAGUGGACAAUGC
Molecule: long non-coding RNA, 134 nt
Organism: Drosophila arizonae
Lineage: Eukaryota; Metazoa; Arthropoda; Insecta; Diptera; Drosophilidae
Source: RefSeq, a predicted model, not a curated record